RNAcentral lists this ribosomal RNA (787 nucleotides) under uncultured marine archaeon. RNAcentral's name for it is "bacterial SSU rRNA". It matches the Rfam family "Archaeal small subunit ribosomal RNA", at positions 24 to 813 of the family's 1478-position model. The record is from RNAcentral.
CUACCGCUAUUGGAGUUCGAUUAAGCCAUGCGAGUCGCGAGAAAUUAGAUUCUCGGCGUACCGCUCAGUAACACGUGGGUAACCUGCCCUAUGCUGGAUAAUAACCUCGGGAAACUGAGUAUAAUGAUCCAUAGUUCACUACGCCUGGAACGGUGAGUGGACGAAAGCUCCGGCGGCAUAGGAUGGGCCUGCGGCGUAUCAGGUUGUAGGGGGUGUAACGUACCCUCUAGCCCUCUACGCGUACGGGUGUUGGGAGACAUAGCCCGGAGAUGGAUUCUGAGACACGAAUCCAGACCCUACGGGGUGCAGCAGGCGCGAAAACUUGGCAAUGCGAGAAAUCGUGACCAGGGAACUCCAAGUGCAUCGGGUAAGACCGGUGCUUUUCUUGACUCUAAAUAGGUCUUGGAAUAAGGGGUGGGUAAGGACGGUGCCAGCCGCCGCGGUAAUACCGGCGCCUCAAGUGGUAGUCGCUUUUAUUGGGCCUAAAACGUCCGUAGCCGGUCUGAUACAUUCGUGGGUAAAUCAACCAGCUCAACUGGUUGAAUUCUGCGAGGACGGUCAGACUUGGGACCGGGAGAGGUGUGGGGUACGCUCAGGGUAGGGGUAAAAUCCUGUCAUCCUGAGCGGACCACCUGUUGCGAAGGCGCCACACUAGAACGGAUCCGACGGUCAGGGACGAAGCCUAGGGGCACGGAACCGGAUUAGAUACCCGGGUAGUCCUAGGUGUAAACGCUGUGGACUUGAUGUUGGGGGUGCUCCGAAGCACUCUCAGUGUCGAAGCGAAGGU